This is a non-coding RNA of Termitomyces sp. Mi166#008, 85 nucleotides long. NCBI's taxonomy places the organism in Eukaryota, Fungi, Basidiomycota, Agaricomycetes, Agaricales, Lyophyllaceae. The record is from the annotation of a GenBank genome assembly.
GCCGCUGUAGCACAAUGGUAGUGCGUUGCUUUCCUACAAUGUUAUUCCUAGGCAAAGGUUGUGGGUUCGAUCCCCAUCAGCGGUU